GCCUGGGUGGUGGAAUUGGCAGACACAAGGGACUUAAAAUCCCUUGGGGCUUAGCUCCGUGCGGGUUCGAGUCCCGCCCUAGGCA
RNAcentral lists this transfer RNA (85 nucleotides) under Pseudomonadota bacterium. RNAcentral's name for it is "tRNA-Leu". It matches the Rfam family "tRNA". Rfam says of the family: Transfer RNA (tRNA) molecules are approximately 80 nucleotides in length. RNAcentral also lists the same sequence under 1 other name. The record is from RNAcentral. Lineage: Bacteria; Pseudomonadati; Pseudomonadota.